This is a long non-coding RNA of Balaenoptera ricei (Rice's whale), 1462 nucleotides long. RefSeq lists it as uncharacterized. The record is from RefSeq and is a predicted model, not a curated record. Lineage: Eukaryota; Metazoa; Chordata; Mammalia; Artiodactyla; Balaenopteridae. The transcript has 4 exons.
UGAGCUCAUCACCACUGCCCGGAGCAGAAGUGGUAAACAAGUUUGCCCUCUGCCUCCCACCCCUGAGAGGAAGCAAGGAAGAGAGUGAGGUGGGGGCCCACAAGCACUCCACCAGGCCCAAGCCAUCUGCAUAACACAGGCCUGCAUGGUGAGAUAAUGUCUAAGAGAUACUUGGAGUUACUUGGAGGAAGAGGCCAGACAGUGAGUGACCAGAGAGCGAUCUCAUGUUUAAGGCUGCAGAGCACCCACCGUGCGGAUGAAAUCUAACUUGGUGAACCUUGCUUACCAGGAGGCAUCCGGGCAGUCUCAUCACAGGUGAGCAGGACCUCUUCUAAAAUGACCAGCCACACACAGUGGUUAAGAAUCCACCUGCCAGUGCAAGGGACACGGGUUUGAUCCCUGGUCCAGGAAGAUCCCACAUGCCGCGGAGCAACUAAGCCCGUGUGCCACAACUACUGAGCCCACGUGCCACAACUACUGAGCCCGAGUGCCUAGAGCCCGUGCUCCACAACAAGAGAAGCCACCACAAUGAGAAGCCCGCGCACUGCAACGAAGAGUAGCUCCCGCUUGCUGCAACUAGAGAGAGCCCACGCACAGCAAUGAAGACCGACACAGCCAAAAAUAAACAAAUAAAUUAAUAAAUAAAAUUUUCUUUAAUUAAAAAAAAUAAUAAAAUGACCAGCCACGGCACGUGGCACUUAGUGGGCUCGCAACAAAGAGUAUUAAGUGAAUGUCAAGUGAAAGGAUAGAGACAUUGGGGAAAGGUCUUUGUUACUCAGGUCACUUGUCAGGGGGAAGUUUCGCCUCCAGUCACACUGUUCUCCCUGGGGCUAUAGAAGGCUUGAAGGCUUCUGCUCCCCUGGUCUGAGAUCCCCAAGCCCCACCCUCUAGGAACUGCUCACUGGGCUGGUCCUUUGCAGAAAUUCUUAAACUUCUCAGAAUCACUGAUGGGCUUGGGGUGGGGACUUUGAUGGGGAAAGCAGUAUAAAAUGCAGGCUUCUGGAUUCAGUGAAUUUCAAUGGGGAGAUUGUGGGAACAUUUUGAACAAGUGCUCCCCUGAUUCUGAGGCAGGUGGGUGAUCUGUGGUCUACAUUUUGAGAAACAAAAGCUCAGUGCCUAUCUCCCUGAAUGCUAAGAAAUGACCUUGAGCAGAAAUUUGGUAUUUUUCGCUCCAAGAAGGGCUGGGUUUUAUUUCUACGGAAGAAGUUCUGUGGAUCUAUGGAAACUUCGGGGGCUUAGGCAUGGUCCUUUAGAGCAGGGGUCCCCAACCACCGGUCCUCAGCCUGUUAGUAACCAGGCCGCACAGCAGGAGGUGAGUGGCGGGCUAGCGAGUGAAGCUGCAUCUGUAUUUACAGCUGCUUCCCAUCUCUCGCAUUACCACCUGAGCUCCACCUCCUGUCAGCAUUAUGGUGAGUUGUAUAAUUAUUUCAUUAUAUCUUUCAAUGUAAUAAUAAUAAAAAUA